Molecule: long non-coding RNA, 645 nt
Organism: Zingiber officinale
Lineage: Eukaryota; Viridiplantae; Streptophyta; Magnoliopsida; Zingiberales; Zingiberaceae
Exons: 2
Source: RefSeq, a predicted model, not a curated record
UCAUUUUUUUUUUAUUAACCUAAUCUUUAACCUUCCCGAAACGUCUCUUCUUUCCUCUCUGCGAUCUUUUUUUUAUCGCCGACAAGCCGCCGACGAAGGGGUAGGCGACAAGGAGUCAACUAGCGCCAGUUGCUCGAGAGGUAGCCAGUGAGGUAGUGAAAAAAGGCCGCUCGUGAGGCAGUCGCUACCUCACCAGUGCGCGAGGUAGCCAUUGACUCGCCAAACGAAGAGCGAUCGCUUCAUGUGCAGGAAGUUAGCGAGCAUCUCCGUCACCACCAAUGGCUGUAUUCCCUUCAUGGGGAUGGGCGAGACCAAUUUUCUUGGAGGUGUUGCCAGGGUGAAGGGUUCAACAUUGUAGUAUGCGAAGCCAGAGGCUGGAAUUAGAUUUCUUGGAGCUCUUGAACUCAUGAAUUUAAGUGACAAUAGGCUUCCCUUUAUCAAUUGUUUCUUCAAUUUUUUUAACCAUAACUAAAUUGAUUAAGCUAUUGGUUUGAUGUACUCGAUGAUAGUACAAAAGAAGAGGACUUAAGGUUGUUGUUGCCUCUCGUGUUGACAGGAUGAAGGUUGAUGCAAAUUUAGAUGCUUUUGGUUGAUGCUGAACCGUGGUGGAUUAGUAGAUUAUAAAUCUAAUUUAAUUUUGAUGAA